UUAGCCCCAUCGCAACAGGGCAAGAGCAGGAGGCCAGUCAUGUUUUUCGACAAUGUGGUGAUCGCCGGAGUGCUGACUGUCGGCCUCAUGGUUCUGUUUUUCGCCGGGUUUGGAUUUUUCAUCUGGAAAGAUGCGCAUAAACGCAAAAAACCUUAAGUCUUUCCGGUAACGAGCACGCAAGGCAUUUUGGGCAACUUCGGUUGCCCUUUUUUUUG
Non-coding RNA from Pseudomonas chlororaphis subsp. aureofaciens 30-84, 215 nucleotides. NCBI's taxonomy places the organism in Bacteria, Pseudomonadati, Pseudomonadota, Gammaproteobacteria, Pseudomonadales, Pseudomonadaceae. The record is from Rfam.